RNAcentral lists this ribosomal RNA (374 nucleotides) under uncultured organism. Its description in RNAcentral is "partial 16S ribosomal RNA". It matches the Rfam family "Bacterial small subunit ribosomal RNA", at positions 527 to 896 of the family's 1533-position model. The record is from RNAcentral.
GUAGGUGGCAAGCGUUGUCCGGGAAUUAUUGGGCGUAAAGCGCGCGCAGGCGGUUCUUUAAGUCUGAUGUGAAAGCCCACGGGCUCAACCGUGAGGGUCAUUGGAAACUGGAGAACUUGAGUACAGAAGAGGAAAGCGGAAUUCCACGUGUAGCGGUGAAAUGCGUAGAGAUGUGGAGGAACACCAGUGGCGAAGGCCGGCUUUCUGGUCUGUAACUGACGCUGAGGCGCGAAAGCGUGGGGAGCAAACAGGAUUAGAUACCCUGGUAGUCCACGCCGUAAACGAUGAGUGCUAAGUGUUAGGGGGUUUCCGCCCCUUAGUGCUGCAGCUAACGCAUUAAGCACUCCGCCUGGGGAGUACGGCCGCAAAGGCUG